UUCCUUAAUAAGGACUUGUAUGAACGGCUAAAUGAGGAUAAACCUGUCUCCUAUGCCUAAUCAGUGAAACUGAUCUCCCAGUACAAAAGCUGGAAUAAUAACAUAAGACGAGAAGACCCUGUGGAGCUUUAAACUAAAUACUAACAUAACACGAACUAGUAUUAAAUUUUAAGUUGGGGCGACUUCGGAAUAAAACAAAACCUCCGAGCACAGAACCACCACUUCUUACCAAGGCCAACAAGCCAAAACAACCCGACCCAGUCCACACUGACCAACGAACCAAGUUACCCCAGGGAUAACAGCGCUAUCUUCUUCAAGAGUCCCUAUCGACAAGAAGGUUUACGACCUCGAUGUUGGAUCAGGACACCCAAAUGGUGCAGCCGCUAUUAAAGGUUCGUUUGUUCAACGAUUAACAGUCCUACGUGAUCUGAGUUCAGACCGGAGA
This 445-nucleotide ribosomal RNA is filed under the name Sphenomorphus phuquocensis (Phu Quoc Island forest skink). Its description in RNAcentral is "partial large subunit ribosomal RNA". It matches the Rfam family "Bacterial large subunit ribosomal RNA", at positions 1972 to 2622 of the family's 2925-position model. Lineage: Eukaryota; Metazoa; Chordata; Lepidosauria; Squamata; Scincidae. The record is from RNAcentral.